UGAUUAUGUAGCAGUGCUGCUCCUGCUAUCUUGUUUUUUCUCCCUGCAGAGAGAGGUGGGCGGAGCCUAACCUGAUGUCUUGAACCUGGACAAGCUGGGCCCUGGUUAUUGUGCCUCAGCAUCACCACCCACCUUUUUGGUUUGCCUUCACAUCACCACACAUAGGUUCUCAUAGGUUGUCGUAGUUAAAAAUAAAUGAUAGUUUAAAUGACUUUAAAUCCUGUGAGGUCUCCCUCUUUGUCUAGAUCCGUGACCCUGGGCUGUUAAAGCUCACUUAACGUUGACCUCAGCCCAGAGGAGGGAAGAGGUUAAUCUGUCCCUCUCAUGUUCUGUCCGCUAAACAACUAAACAUCACACACACAUGUUUAAUUUCCUCACUUAGUUACUGUGAAAGUCUAUUAUGUGCAGGGGGUGUUUGUAUUCCCCCUAUCUGUGACUCUAACUUGUCGAUUGAUCGAACAUCCUGUGGAUGGAACGCCGUUUACCAAAAGGUUUUUUGGAAGAUGUUUCGACACAUGAGAGUAAUGCUCUGUCAUUACGUCGGGUAAAUAUCUGCGGGCACAUUGUGAACCAUUUCUCAGUGGUUCUGCUCUGCUGUAUAAAUAGUCGAGUUUACUCAAGACACAUUUCACAAUCCCAGGGUUCACAAGGAACUCAGCAAACAGAAGAUAAAAUGAAACAAACAAACAUGUGACUGUGCAUUUGAGUGUGUCAGAGGUUAUUUCAGACUGUGGGUGAAGUAAGAACGAAAGAAACAGGGAGUUGGCUUUUGAUCAGAAAGGUCUGUUUCAUUUAUUGCAAACAGAAAAUAGACUUGAUUUGUAGUUUCACAAACACACCCAUGCGUUCACUCUUCAGAUAAUGUGAGAUCAGCUGGCCGUGUCGGGACUGGCCGGCUCACCUGCUCUGCUUCAACAACCUCAAACCAUCUGUUCACCUUCAGCACAAAAACCCCGUUGUUUCUAAAUAUGUGCUGAAGAGCAAAUGUCAGGAGUUCAGAGUUUUGUUUUUAUCAGCUACAUGUUCAUGAGUCAGACCUCAGCAGAUCUUCAUCAGGGUUCAAAUGGGGAAACAAAACCCGAGUUGGACUUUUUUUAUGCACUCAUUCAGGGCCGUGUCCUAAUUGGCUAAUUGGGACAACAGGUGGGAGAUAUUGAGCGUCAUGGAGAGAUUCAGAGAACUCAAAAAUAUAAAAGAUUAAACUCAAAUGACAGAUUAUCUGUAUUGAAAUAAAAGUUGGUUGAUUUCUUGAUUCCAGCCUGGCCAGGCCUAAUCCACCUUUUGCUUUUUUAUUAAUGCUAUCUGUGUUCAGAGUCGAUUCUUUAGGCGUCUGUUUGGGGAUCAUUUUGUAAAACAAUUACAUGGGACGAUAUACGUCAAAGAUUGUAUAAUAUCUUUGUUUUAAUCAGGGUGUUUUCAUGGAUUUAGGUAACCCGGUUACUGUAAAUCUGUUUAUACGUGCAGCCGGUCAGCGACUCGAUUUCUCCUCGGCUGGUAGUGAAACAGAAGUCUCAGUUUUGUGACUUAGAUAAGGAGGAUAAACAUUAAUGAAUAAACUGGACCUCAUUAGAUCACAUUCUUUGGACAUUUAAAGAAAGUUGUUCCCAACUGAAAUCCAAACACAGACACCUUCCUAAGAUAAUACUAGAUAUACUAAAGCUUCCCACAUGCAGCGGUCACUGAAAAAUCAAAUUAAAAAUAUUUUUACAUUUGAUAUGUAACAAGAGAUAAAUGAAGAGACACAGGAUUAAACCUUGUUAAUGUUCUUUUCAUUUCACGGUGUCUUUAAUUUGGCUUUGAAUGGAAAGAAACUUAGUCAGACUUCUAAAGGAAAUUAUUUUAAUUAUCUCUCUCUUUUCUUUUUUCACAUAAGACAUAAGACACUUUAAUUAUUAUUGUAGACGUACAACGAAAAUUAGUUUGGCAGCUCUCAGUGACCAGCAGCAUCAAUAAAAGAAGGAUAAAAAAUUAACUAUAUAAUAAAUAAUGUAAAUAUAAAUAUAAGCAGUAAAAAUACUAAUUGUCUAUCAGUAUAAAACUACAUUGCACCAACCAGUUCAGCAGAGACAUGGGUUGUGUGGUAUCUACGCAAUGUGCAUGUGCUGUUUGAAAUAAAGUGUUUGUGUGCAUUCGCAGCAGAUAAAUAAAUUAGUCUUUAGGUCUGUAACUCCUGUGAGAGGUGGGGUGAUGGAGGCGACAGCUCUGGGGUCACCUUUCAAAACUGAUCAAGACUUAUGGUGCAUUCAACUCAGGGAUGGGACCAUCCAAGCAGCUUGUAAAUGCACAGUAUGUGUCGACAGCCGGGUCAGCAGCUCUGAGGAUGUUGACCUGAUGAUGGUGCUUGAUGAAAAGUUGGGGGAUCACUAAAGUCAGUAGGAUUCAUUCUCUUUAGACAAAAAGUCCUUCCAGUAACUUGAGAUAUUUCAGUCUGGACCAGAGUGGUGGAUCCUGCUGUCACUGUAACCGCUCACACUACAUCACAUCACUUCCUGUGUUGUUCCAGAGAGAUUUCGCCUGGGGGAGAAACAUCUGAUAAGCAGAUAAUUACGUUAAUCCUUUUAUCAAUAACAGAGUGACCCCCAGAGUAACAGGGGUUUGUAUCUUCUUUGUUUGUAUUAGAUUGUAUCUAAUCGGAUUACCUUUCAGGAAGUUAUAAUACAAAAACGCUUUAUUUACUUUAAUAAAUCACAAUAAUUUAUAGUUUAAGAAAUGACACUAGUAGACUUUCUUAUGAAGUCAAAUUUAAAGAUCUACAUGUGAAAAUAAAACAGUGUAAUGAUAAA
Molecule: long non-coding RNA, 2783 nt
Organism: Micropterus salmoides (largemouth bass)
Lineage: Eukaryota; Metazoa; Chordata; Actinopteri; Centrarchiformes; Centrarchidae
Exons: 2
Source: RefSeq, a predicted model, not a curated record